RNAcentral lists this ribosomal RNA (231 nucleotides) under uncultured bacterium. RNAcentral describes it as "partial 16S ribosomal RNA". It matches the Rfam family "Bacterial small subunit ribosomal RNA", at positions 99 to 334 of the family's 1533-position model. The record is from RNAcentral.
CGGACGGGUGAGUAAUGUCUGGGAAACUGCCCGAUGGAGGGGGAUAACUACUGGAAACGGUAGCUAAUACCGCAUAACGUCGCAAGGCCAAAGAGGGGACCUUCGGGCCUCUUGCCAUCGGAUGUGCCCAGAUGGGAUUAGCUAGUAGGUGGGGUAACGGCUCACCUAGGCGACGAUCCCUAGCUGGUCUGAGAGGAUGACCAGCCACACUGGAACUGAGACACGGUCCAG